Molecule: ribosomal RNA, 484 nt
Filed under: Acrapex minima
Lineage: Eukaryota; Metazoa; Arthropoda; Insecta; Lepidoptera; Noctuidae
Description: partial 16S ribosomal RNA
Source: RNAcentral
AAAACAUGUCUUUUUGAAAAUAAUAUAAAGUCUAAUCUGCCCACUGAUUAAUAAUUAAAGGGCUGCAGUAUAUUGACUGUACAAAGGUAGCAUAAUCAUUAGUCAUUUAAUUGGUGACUUGUAUGAAAGAUUGGAUGAAAUAUAAACUGUUUCUUAAUUAAUUAUAAAAUUUAAUUUUUUUAUUAAAAAGUUAAAAUAAUUUAAAAAGACGAGAAGACCCUAUAGAGUUUGAUAAAUAAAAAAAAUUAAGAUUAUUUAUAAUUAUAAAAAUUAAAAUUUAUUUAUUUAUUUUGUUGGGGUGACAAAAAAAUUUAUAAAACUUUUUUUUUAGUAAACAUUAAUAAGUGAAUAAGUGAUCCAGUAAUAUUGAUUAUAAGAAAAAAUUACCUUAGGGAUAACAGCGUAAUUUUUUUUUUUAGUUCAAAUAAGAAAAAGAGUUUGCGACCUCGAUGUUGGAUUAAGAUAAAAUUUGAAUGUAGAAGUU